UGGGGAAUAUUGCACAAUGGGCGCAAGCCUGAUGCAGCGACGCCGCGUGAGGGAUGACGGCCUUCGGGUUGUAAACCUCUUUCAAUAGGGACGAAGCGCAAGUGACGGUACCUAUAGAAGAAGGACCGGCCAACUACGUGCCAGCAGCCGCGGUAAUACGUAGGGUCCGAGCGUUGUCCGGAAUUACUGGGCGUAAAGAGCUCGUAGGUGGUUUGUCGCGUUGUUCGUGAAAACUCACAGCUUAACUGUGGGCGUGCGGGCGAUACGGGCAGACUAGAGUACUGCAGGGGAGACUGGAAUUCCUGGUGUAGCGGUGGAAUGCGCAGAUAUCAGGAGGAACACCGGUGGCGAAGGCGGGUCUCUGGGCAGUAACUGACGCUGAGGAGCGAAAGCGUGGGGAGCGAAC
This 406-nucleotide ribosomal RNA is filed under the name uncultured bacterium. Its description in RNAcentral is "bacterial SSU rRNA". It matches the Rfam family "Bacterial small subunit ribosomal RNA", at positions 355 to 773 of the family's 1533-position model. The record is from RNAcentral.